GAAGCAGAGAAAGAAAGCAGAAAGCAGAGAUCUUUGAAGGCUUAAGAAACCAUAAGGAGUUUUGGAGAGUCAAUGCAUGAUGAUCUCUGAAGAUUCUACUGAAAUCUAAUCAAUAUGUCCUCACUGCCAUCAAUUCAAAAGAACUUGCUAAGAAGGCUCUAGAGGCUUGUACUCUCAGAUAGUGAAAGUGAGAUGAUGUGUAGUGAAAGUCAUAUAUAGGUUGUAAAUUGCAAUAUGGAAUUCCCAAAUGCUGAAUUCAUUUUAUCUCUUCGGAAAUAAAAACCUGUUAAAGACU
RNAcentral lists this long non-coding RNA (295 nucleotides) under Homo sapiens (human). RNAcentral's name for it is "non-protein coding lnc-CDH9-2:4". Lineage: Eukaryota; Metazoa; Chordata; Mammalia; Primates; Hominidae. The record is from RNAcentral.